RNAcentral lists this transfer RNA (75 nucleotides) under marine sediment metagenome. It matches the Rfam family "tRNA". From Rfam's summary of the family: Transfer RNA (tRNA) molecules are approximately 80 nucleotides in length. Their secondary structure includes four short double-helical elements and three loops (D, anti-codon, and T loops). The record is from RNAcentral.
GCAUCCGUAGCUCAAUCUGGAUAGAGCAACGCACUCCUAACGCGUAGGUUGUCGGUUCGACUCCGGCCGGAUGCG